CACGCAGGCGGUCUGUCAAGUCGGAUGUGAAAUCCCCGGGCUCAACCUGGGAACUGCAUUCGAAACUGGCAGGCUAGAGUCUUGUAGAGGGGGGUAGAAUUCCAGGUGUAGCGGUGAAAUGCGUAGAGAUCUGGAGGAAUACCGGUGGCGAAGGCGGCCCCCUGGACAAAGACUGACGCUCAGGUGCGAAAGCGUGGGAGCAAACA
This 206-nucleotide ribosomal RNA is filed under the name uncultured bacterium. Its description in RNAcentral is "partial 16S ribosomal RNA". It matches the Rfam family "Bacterial small subunit ribosomal RNA", at positions 568 to 774 of the family's 1533-position model. The record is from RNAcentral.